GGGGGGAAGGGGCCGGACUGCUCGGGGUUAGGCUGGGCAUCGGUCAGCGAGUGUUUGCUUCAGACUGUGACCAAAGGCAUCCUUCCAUCUUCUCCUGGUUGAGCUAAACAGACAGAGCUCUUGCAUUCCCUCUCUCUCUAAGACAUGAAGAAAAAGGGUUGGCUCAAGAUCAAGGUAAUCAAGGCACUGCAUAAGCAGAAUGGAUGAAGAGUUUCCCAAACUGGAGUAAGAAUUGAUCAGUAUGGGCAAUUCAGCAGUUUUCUAAUUGUUAGACUAACAUUGUAAGAGCAUUUUAUAUGCAGCCAAAAUGGGUUCAUUGAUUUCAAUUGAAUGUAUACUCUUUCACUUAGCUGGGGAUCUGAACCAUUGUCCCUGCAAAUGGAAGUAUUCAUGAGCAUAACAAUGACAUUAUUCAUCAAUGAUAUGUUUUAUAGCUCUUCUUGUGCUGUUUAUUUGACUUUGCUUAGUUCAAUUUUAAUCAUUUAACUUGUGGUUUUCAUAGUGGAAUUAUGUCUAUAGGAAAAUAAUUUUUUUCUAGGUUAUAUAACUGUUCUGCAAACUGCUUAACAUCAAAAGAAGAAAGAGGUUUUUUUUUUCCUUUGUGCUACUCAAAGUUCAGAAAUGAAAUUAUUUCUAUUGCUUGUUACUGUUUUCAAUGUUUAUUUAGUCUAACAUCUGCAGCUGGGCAAAUGUUUGGUUUUUUUUCCUGUGUUUUUUGUGAAGAGAGGAGAAACACAUUUUCCUUUUUAUUUUAUUUUAAUUUUAUUUUUGUUAUGAGGGAAAGCAGCAAAAUUGUCAGUGCUUUUCAGAUGUACACAAAGGAAGCACCUCUUAUGUGCAUAUAUAUGCAUAUAUUUGCAUAUACCUGUGUACUUACAUAUGCAUACACAUGAGUAUGUAUACAUCAUAUUUAUCACCAUAUUUAUGUAUAUGCAUUU
This is a long non-coding RNA of Anas platyrhynchos (mallard), 938 nucleotides long. RefSeq lists it as uncharacterized. Lineage: Eukaryota; Metazoa; Chordata; Aves; Anseriformes; Anatidae. The record is from RefSeq and is a predicted model, not a curated record.